Molecule: ribosomal RNA, 1543 nt
Filed under: Serratia proteamaculans
Lineage: Bacteria; Pseudomonadati; Pseudomonadota; Gammaproteobacteria; Enterobacterales; Yersiniaceae
Description: bacterial SSU rRNA
Rfam family: Bacterial small subunit ribosomal RNA
Source: RNAcentral
UAAUUGAAGAGUUUGAUCAUGGCUCAGAUUGAACGCUGGCGGCAGGCCUAACACAUGCAAGUCGAGCGGUAGCACAAGAGAGCUUGCUCUCUGGGUGACGAGCGGCGGACGGGUGAGUAAUGUCUGGGAAACUGCCUGAUGGAGGGGGAUAACUACUGGAAACGGUAGCUAAUACCGCAUAACGUCUUCGGACCAAAGUGGGGGACCUUCGGGCCUCACGCCAUCAGAUGUGCCCAGAUGGGAUUAGCUAGUAGGUGGGGUAAUGGCUCACCUAGGCGACGAUCCCUAGCUGGUCUGAGAGGAUGACCAGCCACACUGGAACUGAGACACGGUCCAGACUCCUACGGGAGGCAGCAGUGGGGAAUAUUGCACAAUGGGCGCAAGCCUGAUGCAGCCAUGCCGCGUGUGUGAAGAAGGCCUUCGGGUUGUAAAGCACUUUCAGCGAGGAGGAAGGGUUCAGUGUUAAUAGCACUGUGCAUUGACGUUACUCGCAGAAGAAGCACCGGCUAACUCCGUGCCAGCAGCCGCGGUAAUACGGAGGGUGCAAGCGUUAAUCGGAAUUACUGGGCGUAAAGCGCACGCAGGCGGUUUGUUAAGUCAGAUGUGAAAUCCCCGCGCUUAACGUGGGAACUGCAUUUGAAACUGGCAAGCUAGAGUCUUGUAGAGGGGGGUAGAAUUCCAGGUGUAGCGGUGAAAUGCGUAGAGAUCUGGAGGAAUACCGGUGGCGAAGGCGGCCCCCUGGACAAAGACUGACGCUCAGGUGCGAAAGCGUGGGGAGCAAACAGGAUUAGAUACCCUGGUAGUCCACGCUGUAAACGAUGUCGACUUGGAGGUUGUGCCCUUGAGGCGUGGCUUCCGGAGCUAACGCGUUAAGUCGACCGCCUGGGGAGUACGGCCGCAAGGUUAAAACUCAAAUGAAUUGACGGGGGCCCGCACAAGCGGUGGAGCAUGUGGUUUAAUUCGAUGCAACGCGAAGAACCUUACCUACUCUUGACAUCCAGAGAAUUCGCUAGAGAUAGCUUAGUGCCUUCGGGAACUCUGAGACAGGUGCUGCAUGGCUGUCGUCAGCUCGUGUUGUGAAAUGUUGGGUUAAGUCCCGCAACGAGCGCAACCCUUAUCCUUUGUUGCCAGCACGUAAUGGUGGGAACUCAAAGGAGACUGCCGGUGAUAAACCGGAGGAAGGUGGGGAUGACGUCAAGUCAUCAUGGCCCUUACGAGUAGGGCUACACACGUGCUACAAUGGCGUAUACAAAGAGAAGCGAACUCGCGAGAGCCAGCGGACCUCAUAAAGUACGUCGUAGUCCGGAUCGGAGUCUGCAACUCGACUCCGUGAAGUCGGAAUCGCUAGUAAUCGUAGAUCAGAAUGCUACGGUGAAUACGUUCCCGGGCCUUGUACACACCGCCCGUCACACCAUGGGAGUGGGUUGCAAAAGAAGUAGGUAGCUUAACCUUCGGGAGGGCGCUUACCACUUUGUGAUUCAUGACUGGGGUGAAGUCGUAACAAGGUAACCGUAGGGGAACCUGCGGUUGGAUCACCUCCUUA